This 429-nucleotide ribosomal RNA is filed under the name Actinomycetes bacterium. RNAcentral describes it as "Actinobacteria bacterium partial 16S ribosomal RNA". It matches the Rfam family "Bacterial small subunit ribosomal RNA", at positions 355 to 776 of the family's 1533-position model. Lineage: Bacteria; Bacillati; Actinomycetota; Actinomycetes. The record is from RNAcentral.
UAGGGAAUCUUCCGCAAUGGGCGAAAGCCUGACGGAGCAACGCCGCGUGAGUGAUGAAGGUCUUCGGAUCGUAAAACUCUGUUAUUAGGGAAGAACAAAUGUGUAAGUAACUAUGCACGUCUUGACGGUACCUAAUCAGAAAGCCACGGCUAACUACGUGCCAGCAGCCGCGGUAAUACGUAGGUGGCAAGCGUUAUCCGGAAUUAUUGGGCGUAAAGCGCGCGUAGGCGGUUUUUUAAGUCUGAUGUGAAAGCCCACGGCUCAACCGUGGAGGGUCAUUGGAAACUGGAAAACUUGAGUGCAGAAGAGGAAAGUGGAAUUCCAUGUGUAGCGGUGAAAUGCGCAGAGAUAUGGAGGAACACCAGUGGCGAAGGCGACUUUCUGGUGUGUAACUGACGCUGAUGUGCGAAAGCGUGGGGAUCAAACAGG